UGAGGGAAAGGCGAAAAGAACCCCGGCGAGGGGAGUGAAAAAGAACCUGAAACCGUGUACGUACAAGCAGUGGGAGCCCCACCACUAAGCCAGUGGUGAACUCCACAUACGCAUCCUUUGCUGAGGAUACGGUUAACGGAGCGAAAGCGACGUUCAACCUCAAAAGAAGCAGAGGGGGCUUAGUGGUGGGGUGACUGCGUACCUUUUGUAUAAUGGGUCAGCGACUUAUAUUCUGUAGCAAGGUUAACCGCAUAGGGGAGCCGGAGG
RNAcentral lists this ribosomal RNA (267 nucleotides) under Salmonella enterica subsp. enterica serovar Mbandaka. RNAcentral's name for it is "partial 23S ribosomal RNA". It matches the Rfam family "Bacterial large subunit ribosomal RNA", at positions 504 to 672 of the family's 2925-position model. Lineage: Bacteria; Pseudomonadati; Pseudomonadota; Gammaproteobacteria; Enterobacterales; Enterobacteriaceae. The record is from RNAcentral. RNAcentral also lists the same sequence under 1 other name.